ACCGGCAUUGUUCGCGGUCGUCCAAUCGAUUUCAUCGAUAAAUAUUAUUGUUGGUGCAUAAAAUCUUGCGAGAUCGAUCGACAUUGUCGCAAAUUUGAAUAUCACGGGACAAUUGGGCUUCUUUCAAAAGAACAUCAACGGAAUUGGUGUAUCUGAAAGAUAAAAAUUGUUGUUUUAUUUAUUAUAUAUGUUUAUGCAGUACAUAGAAUUUAAAUAAAGACGUUCACCCUUGCUCUCCUAAAAAUGCGGCUACGAGGUAUAGAAGAUUUCUACGUCGCUCUUGGGAAUAUAAAUAGAAUCUUGAAUGAGUAAACGUCAGGUCAUCGAUCUAAUUCGAAUCGAGUUAAAUGGAAACACGUGGCAUGUCCAUUCAUUGGUCGAGAUUCAUUGUACAGUUGUUAACCGAUUUAAAAGCGAUUGUGCGCCUAAUACACGUCGUAAUUCAGGAAAUCUAUUCUAAUAAUUAAUAAUAAUAGUUAAUAUUAUGUAACAAAUGUAUUUUGUUAUAUUUAAAUUAAUAUUACUUAUUUGUCAACCUAUAUUAGAAUAUUGUAAUAUAUUUAUAUGUAAUGUAUAACAAUAAUCUAAUGUUUUACAGUAUAAUGCAUGCUAUGCUAUAAGUAUAGUAUAGUAUAAAGCUGGCUAACUGUUCCCCUUAGCGACCUCAUUUACUCCAGCAAAUAUUUUCGUGACCCUGAGCAUAAACUCUAUACUAUUUUUUCUUUCACCAUCUCAUAAAAACCAAAAAUACUGUGUACGUAUAGUAUUGAAUUAAUUUUCUGUCUUUGCGCAUCUAGGAAUUUUGUAGUUUUGUUCAAAUUUGUGCAAUCUUCAAAUUUAGUUAAGUGACCCCCACGGGGUCUCUCAUAUGGGGUCGCGAACUACACUUUGAAAAGUACUGGUAUAGAAUAUUAGAUAUAAAUAACCAAAUACUACAUAAAUAAAUUAAUUCAUAAUUAAUUUCAACAAGUAUGAAUGGAUAUAAAUGCUGAUCAAAAACAAAUGAAAAUAAUAAUUUCUAAAUGUAGCCUAAGAU
Molecule: long non-coding RNA, 1036 nt
Organism: Polistes canadensis
Lineage: Eukaryota; Metazoa; Arthropoda; Insecta; Hymenoptera; Vespidae
Exons: 3
Source: RefSeq, a predicted model, not a curated record